UCAUCGUCUUCCUCCCGAGUUUCCAAUAUUCCUUCUCCCAACAAAAAUGAAGCAAUUUCAUUUCACGCUCGAUCCAUAAACCUAACAGCGGAUUGAAAACCAGACGACGAACUUCUCUUCUCUUCUCGCCAUGUCCAUGUCUUCUCUCUCCGCCAGGCUCACCCUUCUAGCUCUUCUCUCUGCCUCCACUUUCUAUUUCUUCUACAAGUCCCGCCGUCUCAGAAAGCUUAAACUCUCCUUAAACCCUACUGUCUGUUCACGUAGGGCCAAACUUUUUUUCAUCUCCGAAACUGGCACCUCAAAGGCCCUAGCUCAUCGCCUGCUCAACGUUUUGAACUCGAACGAGUUGGCGUUUGAUCUUGUUGAUCCUGAAGACUACGAGCCGGAAGAUCUUUUUAAGGAGAGUUUAGUUUUGUUAGUUGCUUCUACCUGGGAAGAUGGAGGGCCGCCUCCCCAUGCUAAAUUCUUCGCGAAUUGGCUCUCCGAGAGCGCGGAGGAUUUCAGAGUCGGUUCCUUGUUGCUUUCUGAGUGUAAAUUUGGAGUGUUUGGCGUUGGGAGUCGGGCGUAUGGGGAUACGUUCAAUGCGGUUGCGAGGGGUUUCUCCAAGCAGAUGAGGGCAUUGGGUGCGAAGGAGAUAUUGCCGGUUGGGGAAGGAGACGUUGACGGAGGUGAUAUAGAUAAGUGUUUUGAUGAUUGGAGUCAGCAAGUGCUGAAGGUUUUGAAGGUUGAUGCGGUGGGGAGUGGUACGGAUUUAUAUUCUGCGAUUGCUGGGGACAGCGAUGCUGAAAGUGUUGAGGAUGAUGAAGAAGAUGCCGACCUUGGGGCGGAGGACAUUGUUGAUCUUGAGGAUAUUGCGGGAAAGGCUCCUUCGAGAAAGUCGACGAAUGUAGUUGAAACUAAUGGGAAAUUGAAUGGGAAAAAAGAGAUGGUGACCCCGGUGAUUCGAGCGAGCUUAGAAAAGCAGGGAUAUAAAAUUAUUGGCACACAUAGCGGCGUGAAAAUAUGUAGAUGGACAAAGUCUCAGCUUCGAGGACGAGGGGGUUGCUAUAAACAUUCAUUUUAUGGCAUAGAAAGUCAUCGAUGCAUGGAGGCAACUCCUAGUUUGGCCUGUGCCAACAAAUGUGUUUUCUGCUGGAGGCAUCACACAAAUCCUGUUGGAAAGAGUUGGCAGUGGGAGAUGGAUGAUCCAUUGGAUAUUGUGAAUUCUGCAAUAGAUUUACACACAAAAAUGAUCAAGCAAAUGAAAGGGGUUCCUGGUGUUACACAGGAGAAAUUGGCAGAAGGCCUGUCUCCAAGACAUUGUGCCUUAUCACUUGUUGGUGAACCCAUUAUGUACCCAGAGAUCAAUACACUCGUUGAUGAACUGCACAGAAGGCGGAUUUCAACAUUUCUAGUAACAAAUGCUCAGUUUCCCGAUAAAAUAAAAUCGCUGAAGCCAGUCACCCAGUUGUAUGUAAGCGUAGAUGCUGCGACAAAGGAGAGCCUGAAGGCAAUUGAUAGGCCACUUUUUGGGGACUUCUGGGAGCGAUUCAUUGAUUCCUUGAAAGCUCUUAAUGACAAGCAACAGCGAACAGUUUAUCGACUGACAUUGGUGAAAGGGUGGAACAUUGAAGAUAUUGAUGCAUAUUCAAAUCUCUUCAGCAUUGGUAGACCUGAUUUUGUUGAAAUCAAAGGCGUCACAUAUUGUGGAUCAUCUAAUACUUCAAAGUUAACGAUGGAGAAUGUUCCUUGGCAUUCUGAUGUGAAGUCCUUUUCUGAGGCCUUGGCUGCAAAAAGCCAAGGGCAGUAUGAAGUUGCUUGUGAGCAUGUGCAUUCAUGUUGUGUUCUUUUGGCUAAAACUGACAAAUUUAGGGUCAAUGGCCAGUGGUUCACUUGGAUAGAUUAUGAGAAGUUUCAUGACCUGGUGGCCUCUGGAAAACCUUUUGAUAGCAAGGACUACAUGGCUCCAACGCCAUCAUGGGCUGUAUAUGGCUCUGAUGAAGGUGGAUUUGAUCCUGAUCAAUCUCGGUAUCGGAAGGAACGACAUCAUAGACCAAAACCCAUGUCUUCAUAGUUUUGAAUGUCCUGGGCUGGGGGGUUGCUAACUUUCAAGAAUCUUUCCAAAGUCACGUCGCCGUCCAGUUAAAGGUUGUCUAGCGGAAGAUGAAUAAUUUUCAACUUCAGAAAGCUGGGACGGGCACAAUGGCUGGACCCAUCAGUAGCUAUAUAGUUAGUACGUGAGGAUGGCAACGGGCCCUGCCAUGUUGCCAUCCGACUCUAUCCUAAAAUAAUGAUUGAACCUUCAAUAUUUACUUGAUUCAACCUUCAGAAUCAAAGAGAUUCUUCCCAAUCUGACCUUGUCAUUUGCAACUCUAAUGGAUCGAUCGGGCUGGGUGGAAUGAGUACCUGUAUUGGUUGGAACUUGGAAGUCGAGUCUUCAGUGCUAUGGCUGUUGGUAAAGAACCCGAAGCCGGGGUAAAUGAUGGAGAGACAAGAUCCUCAUCUGCUGGUCAUUGUCGCCAGGUAAAUUUCUGUGGUCAUAUGUGAUUGAUUAGAGUUUGACUGGUGGAUUGGAUUGAGCUGUAAUGGAAUAUGGUUUCUUCUAUUACUUUGACGUUUGUUUUUAGGGAAUCUAGACAUUAAGAACCAAAAGAUCAAGGAUGUCCAUGAAUUUUGAUAUAAUAUGUGAAAUUUACAUGGGUU
Molecule: RNA transcript, 2682 nt
Organism: Momordica charantia (bitter melon)
Lineage: Eukaryota; Viridiplantae; Streptophyta; Magnoliopsida; Cucurbitales; Cucurbitaceae
Gene name: flavodoxin family protein / radical SAM domain-containing protein
Source: RefSeq, a predicted model, not a curated record